This 3472-nucleotide long non-coding RNA is filed under the name Cricetulus griseus (Chinese hamster). RNAcentral's name for it is "lncRNA (ENSCGRG00015036075.1)". Lineage: Eukaryota; Metazoa; Chordata; Mammalia; Rodentia; Cricetidae. The record is from RNAcentral.
GCAGGAGACUCGGCUCUCCCGGCUGCGCGUUCGCUCGCUCUCUCGGCACGUCAUUUAUGCCACAGGAGCCCUAGCGGCCUCUCCAUAGAGUGCCUGGAAUGCGAGACGUCAAUGUGACGCCAUGGGACGCUACGUCACCCUCCUCCUCCCUCCCCUGGCCCAGCCGGUUCCGCGUGUGCGAGGGUGUGUGUGUGUGUGUGUGUGUGUGUGUGUGCGCGUGUGUGUGUGCGCGCGUUCCCCGGCUAUUUGCACGGCCGCACAAUGGAAACCGCGGGGAGCUGCCGACUCUGGCCCCGAGGCUUCUCAGACCCGCGCGGCCAAUCUCUCCGCACCCGAGCCGCUCGCCAGGGCGCUCGUCUACCGGAGGGUGCCGCAGCCAGCCGGCGGGUCAGGCGGGACCGCCCAGCUGUCAGGCUCCGGGUGGAGUAGAGUUGGAGGAGUGCUGCUGGCUGGCCUCCGAGGCUGCCCCGAGGCAUCCAGCCAGGUCGAGGGGGGCUUGAGUUUGAGCCGGGGCCUCAUGCACACUAGGAGAGCCCCCUACCACUGAGCUACACCCCCGGUCCUCCACCAGCCUCUUCACUGGCCUCGUUAGCCUCACCAGACCAUUUUACACAACCCUGUGUAUCUCUGAUCUAUCUUCAGAUACGUGCUGCUAAAGUUUCAACAGUUUGUAGAGGUUUUUGGAAGCACCUACCCCAAGACAGAUGCAUGGAUACUAAAAACUGUGUUGGUUGCACAUAAUCUGAAGAAUUGGUUAUGCAUUCUGUAACAUCCAUUAGCUACUCUAUGAUUGAGCCAUCUUCCCUCUAAUCCCCUCAAGUUUCCCUUUCUGGAUCUGUGAAUAGAAAUAUCUGAGUCUCCCAGGACGUUUUCAAUGAGCAACACUGUGAUGUUCUGCAGCACUGACUUAGAGGACCUGUCUGGAUUUCUUGCUGGAGCCAGAGCAGAAUAAGGCUCUGGGAUGGCAUUUCGGGCAUUUCUCCUGUCUUUCUUCUCUGAGAUGCCCGGCAUCUUUGGAGACAGUUCCCAUAUACAGGGAAGAACCAUGUGAAGAUGUUCCCGGAUCAGUUCUUCAUUUCAGCAGAUCAAUCUUCUAAAGACUCAAGAACAAUAACCAGUUGCUGGAAGGAAGAGUGUUCCGGCCUGCUACACAGACAUAUUGACACAUAUGCGAGGAGACUGGAGCCCAAAGGAAAGUGAGAGCAAAAUCUGGCAAGAUUUGAGAGAAGAGGAAGACUAAAUUGCAGGAAAGGGGAAAGCUUUGUAUUUUCCUUAAAAGAUAGUAAAAUUGCCCAGCAGUGGUGGCAAAUAUCAUCAAUCCCAGCACUCAGGAGGCAGAGACAGGUAGAUCUCUGAGUUCAAAUCCAGCCUGGUCUACAGAGCUAGUUCCAGGACAGCUAAGGCUACACAGAAAAACCCUGCCUGGAAAAUAAAAACAAAUGAACAAAAAGUAAUAAAAUUAGGGCACACAGAAAUAUAGGGAAGGAAAAAUAUUACUGUCAGGUAGAAAGUAUAUUUGGCUUGCAAUUAACUGAAUUUUGGUUCAAUUUUCUCUAAUUCCUAGUUUCAUCUGUAAAAUGUAGGAUACUAAUAGCAAAACUUUGCUUCAGGAUUUUUUACGGUUAAAAAGGAUUAGUUACAUGCAAAUUCUCUGGCCAGCCCCUGGGUUGCCAAGCCUGUGUAGAAGACAUUGGAGACAACACCAAGCUGUGUGCUGAAGACUUGUCCUGCUCCUAUUAUUUGUUAAUUGUCUGGGAAAGUCUUAAAAAAUUGCUCAACCUUAGUUACUUCUUCUGUAAAAUAGGGACAAUUAUCACAGCAAUUUUAUAGGAACCAUUUAAAGAAGAAACAAGCUAGUUCAUAUAGAGUAAAAUAUUUGGUGCCGAAGUUCCUGCUGUUGAAUGACCACUGCAGAUGGCCAAGGAUUGACAGAGCUGCUGCUCUUGCAGGGACCCAGGAUUUGGUUCCUAAUAUCCAUAACAGCAAGUGUUCACAAUUGCCUGUAACUCUACUUCCAGGGGACACUGAGCUGUCUUCUGCCUCUGAGAACACUUGCACAAUACACUGGAAAUAAAAUGGAAAUAAUUAAAAAUAGUAUUUUUUUGUAUCUCUGUGAGUUUGUGGCCAACCUGGUCUAUUGAUCGAGUACCAGGACUGACAAGACUAUACAGAGAAACUGUCUUGAAAAAAAUAAAACAAGCUAGCCAAACAAGCAAACAAAAAGCCAAAAAGAAAAAGAAAAGGAACAAUUCCUUAAAAUUAAAAAAAAAGAUGUUUUGGUAUGUGCCUGUGUGUGUACAUCUGUGUGUCUGUGUGCACAGGUUCAUGUGCACAUGUUUGCAGAGGCCAGAGGUCAAUGUCUGCUGUCUUUCUCAAUUGCUCUCCACCUUAUUUUUAAGACAGGGUCUCUCACUGAACCUGGAACUAGCUGAUUUGCUAGACUGUCCACCCAACAAGUCCCUGAGACCAUCUUGUCUCAGUAUCCCCAGAGCUGGGGGACUGAUUAUAAGCAUGCCCCUGGCUUUUUCAGGUGAAUGUUGGGGAUCCAACUCAAUUUCUUUACCAACUGAGCUAUCUCUCCAACCCCUACUGCUAUCUUCUUUUUUAGAAGGUACAGAGGAUCCAGUGGUAAUUUUGAGCGGAGGGUAAUGGGUUGGCUGAAAGAUGGGAUGAGGAACGAGUGUGGUAAAGAGGGGCUAUAAUCUGUUGGUGGUUUCUAAAUGGAACUGAGUGGUGAAGGGCUGAGGAGAGACCAAAAAGAGAGUAAGACUAAUCAAAAUAUCAGUAACUGCUGGUUAGAGACUCGAGAACUCGAUGAGCAACCAUCAUAGGAGGGGUGGAGAAAAGCUACUCAUAUACACUCAUAUACUGGAGAUGCAGUUUUCAAACCCCAGUGUGUGUGACUCACCUGGGGAACCAGAAUGUGGAUUCUCCUCUAGUUGGUCUGGAUGGACCCAGAGAUGCUGCCAUUAUUAACCAAAUCUCAAGAAGUGCAGAGGAUGCAUAAGUCACACCAGCAAGGAUGCUAAGGGUCAUGAGGAGAAAAAAAAAGAGUUUUGCUUGUUUGUUUGGUUGUCUUUUUUUUUUUUUAAGGAACUAAAUCAAGACAAAAAAAAAAACAAAAACUUACCAUACUAAGUUUGGUUUCCUGAAUUUGGCAUUAUGGGAUGUAGAAUAGUGUGAUGAUGAAAGGUUAGAUUAAUUUUCAGAUCAGGAUUAACCCUUUCUCCACAAUUAUUAGAAAGAUGAUUCUGGGUUUUUUGACCUUUGCUCUCUGGUUUCUAACUGAGAGGUUGCAGAGACUAGAUCACAAGACUGCUGCAUUGAUUAAUGGAGACACUCUGUUGUAAAAACAGGGGUGAUACUUACUGAAGGAAUAAAAAUCCUCUCUGUAGAUUUCACACAAUGUAAAGAGUAACUCAGCUCCUGGAGAGGCCCGUCUGGGCCUUUUCACAUUCAACUUUUCUGUUAG